This is a non-coding RNA of Trichonephila inaurata madagascariensis, 73 nucleotides long. NCBI's taxonomy places the organism in Eukaryota, Metazoa, Arthropoda, Arachnida, Araneae, Nephilidae. The record is from the annotation of a GenBank genome assembly.
GUUCAUAGCAACGCAAUGGAUGGCGCGUUGGACUUCUAAUCCAAAGUCGUGGGUUCGAAUUCCACCUGGGAUG